Molecule: long non-coding RNA, 1117 nt
Organism: Poecilia latipinna (sailfin molly)
Lineage: Eukaryota; Metazoa; Chordata; Actinopteri; Cyprinodontiformes; Poeciliidae
Exons: 3
Source: RefSeq, a predicted model, not a curated record
AUGUUACAGAACUAGACUUGGCCUUUUUAAGGUUCUGCUGGAAAUUGGACCAGGAAAUUCCGAGUCGAUUGCUGAGUUGGAUUCCGCUAGUGAGAAACAAGAUGGCGAGCCGUAACCCAGGUUGCCCUGUGACCGCAGUCUAGCAGGAGCUACGCCCUCUGCUGGACAUUGCAAAUCAUCCAAACUGGUAUGACCUGCCCAUGUUUCCCUGCUGAAAUAGCAGUGGAUUCAGAGAAACGGGAUUUACCCUUCAGGAUCAUCAGAGAGAAAAGACAUUGAUUUGAAGCACAAGUUAUUCGGUCUUUUGCUGGAUUGUUUCUGUUGUGUUUUAGUUUUUUUUUCUUCUCGAACCACAUUCAAUAUCCAUUGUUACAGUGUGUGGAAUGUGAAAUUGUCCAUUGGGUUUAAAAUAGAAACAAGAAAUGGUUAAAACAGGAAAUUAAAAAACCUUAACUUCUCAAAAAGAACACUAAACUAAAAUAGAUUUAAAAAGAUUAAAAAUAAACUGUAAAUUAAAUAGAUUAACAGUACUAUCUUGAACUUAAAUAUAACUAUUACCUAGGUUUGAAUAAAUAGUAUUCUUUAAUACCUAACAUUAUGUUUAAAUUUCAAAACAGGGAUUAAAUAAAAUAUUCUGGAAGAAACAGGGAAACUAUUUUGAAUUUUGUGUCAUUGUAUGUCAACUGUUUGUAAUAUUGUUGUUUGUUUUCUUUUCAACAAAUAAUAAGCUGGCAGUUUAAACUUAUUUUCUGGUCUGUGGUCAUUAAUCCACUUACACUUCUCCCUACUCCCGAACCUAGCACUGGUCCUAUUGUCUGUCCUAUUAACUGUAAUCGUGUCAUAAGUGUUACACGGUCACCUCUCCUGCCGGAGCUCCAGUCGCUGCUGCACGUCUUCUCUGUCGUCUUUGGAGCCAGCAAUACUUCAGCUCUUAUUAGAUGGUCGGAUAAGGGAAGUUUCCAUAAAAAAAUAAAUCUAAAAAAAAAAAAAAAAUCUAUUUUCUGCCAGCAAUAUAAAAAAUCCUAAUAGAGAUAGCCAUAAAUAAAUGCCUUUAUCUGAUACAGAAGCCUUAUUGACUUCUAGGAAGGAACUUUCAAUUAAAUGCAUAAAAAAUAAA